Clupea harengus (Atlantic herring) is the source of this 542-nucleotide long non-coding RNA. NCBI's taxonomy places the organism in Eukaryota, Metazoa, Chordata, Actinopteri, Clupeiformes, Clupeidae. The record is from Ensembl.
GCUGAGUGACAAAAAGAAGGCCUUCAUGUCAGGGGUCAAGGAGAAACUGUGAGUGGUUCAGAGAGAGCUGAAACAGGAGAUCAGGGCGGGCAAGGAGGAGUUACUACAGGAGGAGGAACUACUGCAGGAGGAUGAGGAACUACUAUAGGAGGAGGAGCUACUGCAGGAGGAGGAGGAACUACUAUAGGAGGAGGAGCUACUACAAGCGGAGAAACUACUACAGGAAGAGGUGCUACUACAGGAGGAGGAACUACUGCAGGAGGAGGAACUACUAUAGGAGGAGGAGCUAAUACAGGAGGAGGAGGAGCUACUACAGGAAGAGGAGGAACUACUAUAGGAGGAGGAGCUACUACAAGCGGAGGAACUACUACAGGAAGAGGUGCUACUACAGGAAGAGGAGGAACUACUACAGGAAGAGGAACUACUGCAGGAGGAGGAGGAACUACUGCAGGAGGAGGAGCUACUACAGGAGGAGGAGGGGCUACUACAGGAAGAGGAGGGACUAAUAUAGGAGGAGGAGCUACUACAAGCGGAGGUGCUAC